GGAGGGUGCGAGCGUUGUCCGGAAUCACUGGGCGUAAAGGGCGCGUAGGUGGCCUGUGGAAGUCUGCGGUGAAAGCCCGGCGCUCAACGCCGGGUCGGCCGUGGAUACUCUCGGGCUUGAGCUUACUAGAGGCAGAUGGAAUUCCGGGUGUAGCGGUGGAAUGCGUAGAGAUCCGGAAGAACACCGGUGGCGAAGGCGGUCUGCUGGGGUAAUGCUGACACUGAUGCGCGACAGCGUGGGGAGCAAACAGGAUUAGAUACCCUGGUAGUCCACGCCGUAAACGAUGGGCACUAGGUGCUUGGGGGAGCGACCCCCUGAGUGCCGUCGCUAACGCAUUAAGUGCCCCGCCUGGGGAGUACGGCCGCAAGGCUG
Molecule: ribosomal RNA, 372 nt
Filed under: uncultured bacterium
Lineage: Bacteria
Description: bacterial SSU rRNA
Rfam family: Bacterial small subunit ribosomal RNA
Source: RNAcentral